AGCUAGUUGGUGGGGUAAAAGCUCACCAAGGCGACGAUCAGUAGCGGGUCUGAGAGGAUGAUCCGCCACACUGGAACUGAGACACGGUCCAGACUCCUACGGGAGGCAGCAGUGGGGAAUUUUGGACAAUGGGGGCAACCCUGAUCCAGCCAUGCCGCGUGAGUGAAGAAGGCCUUCGGGUUGUAAAGCUCUUUCGGCCGGGAAGAAAUCGUAUCAGCUAAUACCUGGUGCGGAUGACGGUACCGGCAUAAGAAGCACCGGCUAACUACGUGCCAGCAGCCGCGGUAAUACGUAGGGUGCGAGCGUUAAUCGGAAUUACUGGGCGUAAAGCGUGCGCAGGCGGUUUUGUAAGACAGGCGUGAAAUCCCCGGGCUCAACCUGGGAACUGCGUUUGUGACUGCAAGGCUAGAGUACGGCAGAGGGGGGUGGAAUUCCACGUGUAGCAGUGAAAUGCGUAGAGAUGUGGAGGAACACCAAUGGCGAAGGCAGCCCCCUGGGUCGAUACUGACGCUCAUGCACGAAAGCGUGGGUAGCAAACAGGAUUAGAUACCCUGGUAGUCCACGCCCUAAACGAUGUCAACUAGGUGUUGGGAGGGUAAAACCUUUUAGUACCGGAGCUAACGCGUGAAGUUGACCGCCUGGGGAGUACGGCCGCAAGGUUAAAACUCAAAGGAAUUGACGGGGACCCGCACAAGCGGUGGAUGAUGUGGUUUAAUUCGAUGCAACGCGAAAAACCUUACCUACCCUUGACAUGUCAGGAACUUUCCAGAGAUGGAUUGGUGCUCGAAAGAGAACCUGAACACAGGUGCUGCAUGGCUGUCGUCAGCUCGUGUCGUGAGAUGUUGGGUUAAGUCCCGCAACGAGCGCAACCCUUGUCGUUAAUUGCCAUCAUUAAGUUGGGCACUUUAGCGAGACUGCCGGUGACAAACCGGAGGAAGGCGGGGAUGACGUCAAGUCCUCAUGGCCCUUAUGGGUAGGGCUUCACACGUCAUACAAUGGUCGGUACAAAGGGUCGCCAACCCGCGAGGGGGAGCUAAUCCCAGAAAGCCGAUCGUAGUCCGGAUUGCAGGCUGCAACUCGCCUGCAUGAAGUCGGAAUCGCUAGUAAUCGUGGAUCAGCAUGUCACGGUGAAUACGUUCCCGGGUCUUGUACACACCGCCCGUCACACCAUGGGAGCGGGUUCCGCCAGAAGUAGGUAGCCUAACCGCAAGGAGGGCGCUUACCACGGCGGGGUUCGUGACUGGGGUGAAGUCGUAACAAGGUAGCCGUAGGGGAACCUGCGGCUG
RNAcentral lists this ribosomal RNA (1286 nucleotides) under metagenome. Its description in RNAcentral is "bacterial SSU rRNA". It matches the Rfam family "Bacterial small subunit ribosomal RNA", at positions 243 to 1520 of the family's 1533-position model. The record is from RNAcentral.